AAACAUGAAUAAAACUGGGGCACCCCACGAGGACAUAUUAGGUUUGAUAAAUCACUUAUCUAGUAGAUCCUUUAAUUGUUUUUUUAAUUUUCUGAGUUUUAUAGGUGUCAUCCUGUAUGGUGGGAUAGAUAUGGGCUGAGUAUCUGGAAGAUGGUCUAUUCUGAAGUCGAUUUCCCUUUUGGGAGGAACUCCAGAGAGAUCUUCAGGAAACACAUCUGGGA
This 221-nucleotide long non-coding RNA is filed under the name Capsicum annuum. RNAcentral describes it as "long non-coding RNA (CANN_LNC004960)". The record is from RNAcentral. Lineage: Eukaryota; Viridiplantae; Streptophyta; Magnoliopsida; Solanales; Solanaceae.